CCAAAUCCCUAAUCAAAAUAAACGAUCAACUCCCAUUUCAACCCCAAGCUUCUUUAUCAAUAUUAUCACGUAUAUUGGUAGUGAAGGUUCGAUUUGAAGUCUUCUUCUCAUUUUUGCUCUUUCUUCAUCUAGUAAAGGAAUUUGGAAUAAUUCUUGACUACACAGAUGAACUGUGAAAGACCAAGCCUGAGAGUACUUGUGUUGUUAAACUUGGUGAACCUGAUGCAUUAGUAGACCUGUUUUUCAUAGCUUUCACAUAUGUUUGGAGGCAUUGAAGAAGGCAUUUUUGCAUCGUAGGAAAUGUAUAGGUUUAAAUGGGUGUUUCUUAAAAGGGGUUUGUAAAAGGCAGUUGUUGGUUGCAGUGUGUAAGGAUGGUAAUAACCAAAUGCUGCCUCUUGCAUGGGCAGUAGUUGAGUAUGAAAACAAGAAUACAUGGACUUGGUUUGUCAGAAUUCUGAGGGAAGAUUUUGUACUUGGAGAUGGGGCAGACUUAACCUUGAUAACAGAUAUGCAAAAGGGACUGUUUGUAACAAUUCAAGAUUUUUUACCUGCUGCUGAGCACGUAAAAGUGUGCUAGGCACAUCUUGGCUAACUUUUGUAAGGAUUAGAGAGGGCUUCAAAGAAGACAACAGAUUUAGAAAAUUGCAAAGAGAACUUUUGAGUCCCAAUUGAGAAGAAAUAUUGACAAGAUGAAGUUUCUUGGUCCAAGAAGAAUGAUGGAUGCCCUGAUGUACCACAACAUAGAGUGUUGGUGUAAGGUGUACUUCAACACCGAAGUUAAAUGUUAUUUUGUAAACAACAAUAUGUCUGAGUGUUUUAAUGCAUGACUCUUGCCUGCUAGGAAUGUGUACUGGUUUAAUUUUUUAAU
Long non-coding RNA from Lycium ferocissimum, 868 nucleotides. RefSeq lists it as uncharacterized. The transcript is spliced from 3 exons. The record is from RefSeq and is a predicted model, not a curated record. NCBI's taxonomy places the organism in Eukaryota, Viridiplantae, Streptophyta, Magnoliopsida, Solanales, Solanaceae.